AGGAAUGAGCUGUUAGAUGCUGCAAGUCCCCAACUGGAACUACACUAGUUUAGGGCUCGAGAUAGGCAGCUGUUGUGGUGUUGGCGUGACUGUCCGAAGUGUCUGGAGUCAAACUUCACGAGUUUCUUACUCCCAGCUCAACUGACCUCCUAAUUGAACCGACUACGGAAGGCGCACAAGGUACACCACUGAUGAGCAAGGAAAAGGAAUGGAGCCGAGGGCAGACUACUGCACCCAUGAGGUCGACACCACCCUCACUGCUGGGGGGCAGGCCGCAGCGACAACAACGGACACAGGGUCGACCCUGGGGAGUCGGCCUCGGUGAAGGCGGCUUCCUGCUUCCCACACCCGCCCUGGGGCCGGCCUUUCAGGCUUGGUCCCUGUGAGGGCAGGCUCCAGCAAUGAACAGUUUUACGACAUCGUGCACAGCACGAAAGUACUUGGGUGUACUUUCCCCUGCUGUACGAUCACCUCACAAGGACAUUGCACGGGGGAGGGGGGGACCCCUUGCCCUCUACGCUCUGGAUCGUCGCGAUGAUGCCCGUUGGCCUCACCAAGGACGCUGUUUAACUUGUAGUAUGUUAACUGCCUAGUAGAACAGCUAGUUUAACUUUAACUGUAAACAGUUUAACUGCCUAGUAGAUCGGGUUUGGUCCCUUUGUCAGUCGGGAGGAACCUGGUGGUUUUCAUUGCCCUCUCCUGGGAUGCGGGCACGGUUGCUGUCACAGGAACAAGUGAUCAUAUCCCUAGUUAAAGGUUGGCGAGGCACACUUGCCUUGCAAGGUCUAGUUGGUGGGCUCAUGCCUCUAUGCCCAUAUGGCACCUCACGUUGGCUUCAGCAAAGAAGCAGUUUCACUUGUAGCAUCUGUCUAGUAGACCCGGUUUGGUAACUUUUUCAGUCAGGGAAACCUGUCACAGGCAAGGUUACAGCCACUGCACGAGUAGUCACGUUCCUAGUUACAGCGGCCAGCCGCUGCAUUCGCCCUUCGGGGUUGGGGGUUCCGCGCCGCUGGCCCUCGCGGGAUUGGGGGUGCUCCGCCGGAACCCCCAAAGUGAUAAGCCUGCAGAUAGCUAAGAAAUAUUCCCAUGAAUUGUAAUUAGUGUAAUUAAAUUAAAGCAACUUACAUUUACUACCUAUAGAUGUAGUUAUUAAUUGUAAUUGAUUUAAUACUUUAUCAUUAUAAGGAUUAUUCAUUAUAAUUAUUCUUUAAUACUUUAUUGUUAUGCACUAGGCAAUAAUUAUUUAUCAUUCACCCUA
Non-coding RNA from Procambarus clarkii (red swamp crayfish), 1258 nucleotides. The record is from RefSeq and is a predicted model, not a curated record. NCBI's taxonomy places the organism in Eukaryota, Metazoa, Arthropoda, Malacostraca, Decapoda, Cambaridae.